Molecule: long non-coding RNA, 3185 nt
Organism: Anolis carolinensis (green anole)
Lineage: Eukaryota; Metazoa; Chordata; Lepidosauria; Squamata; Anolidae
Exons: 3
Source: RefSeq, a predicted model, not a curated record
GAGGAAAAGGAGACACUUCUGCGCAUGCGCACCAAUAAACUACCAGAGGGAGAUGAAAGGCCUCCAUUUUUCUAAUUUAUAUUUUUCUCAAUCUUGUCACUUCUGUCCCAAGAAUAUGUUUCCAUUUUAGCCACAUGAAGGUUGCUUAGCACAGGCCAACCAUCCACCUAGAAUGGUCUCUUGAGCAGAAAGUUGUCCACAUGGAAAAGCAGCAUAACAGAAUGGCUGGAGCACUAGACUACACUUUUGGGUUCGAAUCCCCACUGAGCCAUUGGACUUCAAAGUGAAGAACAGACCUAUCCCGCCAGCCUUUCUGGGAGAGGAGAACACACAUCAGGCCUGUUGCUCAAGUGACUUUCAUGAGCAUAGUGUCCUUUUGCCUUCAUUCCUUAGUUUAUUCUCAUCUGCAAAGAAAAGGGACCACCCUUUUUUGGGUCGAUAGGUAUUAUGUUGAAAGAAAGAUUAGAUCAAAAUGGGAACAAUUGAGCUCUCUGUCUCAGAGUGUGGUGGAGGCUGCUUCCCUGGUGACUUUUAAACACAGGCCGGAUGACCAUCUGUUGGGGGUGCUUUGUUCUUUUUCUGCAAGGCAGGGGGUUAGACUAGAUGGCCCAUGGGAUCUCUUCCAACUCUACGAUUCUAUGAUAUUGGGAUGGGAUGCAGCAGAUUAAAUUACAAGAACUGAACUUGAGACAAAAUGUUUAUAUUGCUUGUACUGAUAUCACUCAUGGUUAUGUAUUAUACUUAGCUAUAUUUCCCCCAAUUUUCAAGCAAAGAGUAGAAGGCCACAAGCCAAGCAAAGCUGGAACAGGAAAAUUUCAAAUUGCUCUUUGCUGGGCUCAUGUAAGUCAUGAAUGUGGGUUUAAAGAUUAUAAAGACUGCAGAAAUAUUAUUAUCAUCUCAGGAGGAGACUCAAAACAACCACAGUAGAGUCUCACUUAUCCAAGCUAAAUGGGCCGGCAGAACCUUGGAUAAGUGAAUAUCUUGGUUAAUAAGGAGGGAUUAAGGAACAGCCUAUUAAACAUCAAAUUAGGUUAUGAUUUUACAAAUGAAGCACCAAAACAUGUUAUACAACAAAUUUGGCAGAAAAAGUAGUUCAAUAUAGAGUAAUGCUCCGUAGUAAUUACUGUAUUUACAAAUUUAGCACCGUAAUAUCACGGUUUUGAAAACAUUGAGUACAAAAAUGCGUUGGAUAAUCCAGAACGUUGGAUAAGCGAGUGUUGGAUAAGUGAGACUCUACUGUAUAUAUAUACAGUGGUUGGAAGAGUUCCCAAAGGCUAUGUAUGCAGUUCAGCUCUAGCCCUUGAGAUGGAAGGAGAGGCAGGUCAUGUAUUAAGCACCAAAACAUCAUGUUAUACAACAAAUUUGACAGAAAAAGUAGUUCAAUACACAGUAAUAUUAUGUUGUAAUUACUGUUUUUAUGAAUUUAGCACCAAAAUAUCAUGAUAUAUUGAAAACAAUGACUACAAAAAUGCCUUGGAUAAUCAAGAACCUUGGAUAAGCGAGUCUUGGAUACGUGAGACUCUACUGUACUUUCUUACUUUGCAGCCUAAGGGGCAUCUACACUGUUGAAAUUAUUAUUACUAGAUUAUUGUUAUUAUUAUUAUUAUUAUUUUAUUAUUAUUAAUUAUAUCCUUCUUUUUCUCUCUUAAAAGAGAUUCAGGGCAAUACACACCAAAUACACAAGGCAUUUUGACUCUACUUGUGACUGCCAUGCCUCAAUGCUAUGGAAGCUUGGGAUAUGUAGUUUGGUGAGGCCCCACACUCUAGGACAAUGACAGCUAAAUGUCUUGCAAAACCACAACUCCCAUGAUCCCAUAGCAUUGAGCAAGGUAGGUAUAGUGGUGCCAAAGUGUAUCAAUUCUACAAUGUAGACACAGCCCCAGAAUACCGGUAUUUUAGAUACUCCUUUCUAAUCAGAGUUGGUUACAACAUCAUAAACCUACUUUAUGGAGCCUAUUCAUCAUCAUCCUCACUAAAAGACUGACAUCAUGUGUCUUCAUACCAUAGAAGUACAAGGGUUACCAAUAUUACAAUCUUUUUGGCUCUAGACCAAAGUAUUAUUGUUUUCUCAGAUGUUUAAAGUUUGGCCCAGUUGCUGAAUCCCUCUUGAUUUCUCUGUCGCAUUACGGCAGUAUUGUUUUAUUAUACUGUUUUAUUUUGAUGUAUAGUUGAGCUGUAUAUCUGGCGCAUGUUGCCCUGCUCUCCACCAGGACAAAGGGCGCUCCCAAUAGAUUGCCUUUCAAGGGCUACAAUAAAGGAAAGGCGACUUAGGAAACUAUUGCGAAUCUUUCCGGAGCGGCCAGGUCUCCUUCAUUCCAAGGCGCCUCUGCCGCCCGAGAGUCCAAUGUCUUCACUUCCAUUGCAUCACACUAUAAACAAAACUGGUUUUAAGUAGUCACCCAUCGACACACAAACAGGCCAGCAACUGAUUGACUUGCAAAACUCUGACCAAAUGGCUUCUAACCCGUUGAGCUGCUUGGGUGCAUCUACAUUGUGGAACUGAUACACUUUGACACUUUAACUGCCCUGUCUUUGGUCAAAAAAGAAAAUCCAGACUGGAUCUAUAUUGCCAUAUAAUCCAGUUCAAAGCAAGUAAUCUGGAUAUAGCCGUGUAAAUGGGGCCUCAGUGAUAGCCCGUCCUAUUAAACAUAUUGGGAAAGGGGAAAACACAUCAUUUAAGUAGUUGGCCAUCAAGACUGAAAGAGUUUUGUAUACACAAAACAUAUAAACAGGAAGGUGUUUAAGAUCUAGUGAGGGAGUACUGUGGUUUUUAACUGAAAAUAUAUUUUGAUGGAUUUUAACUGAAAAUUUUUUGAGCUGUUUGUGUUUAAUUCUGUAAUAUUUGUAUAUUUUAAUGCUUUUUAUGUCAAGCCAAUUUGAGUCCCCUCUGGAGAGAUAAAGCAUGGUAUAAAUAAAUAAAUAUAAUAUUACUAAUAAUGUUAUUUUGUGGCUUAUUUUACUAUAGUAAUGUUUGGGAUUUUUUAAUGUUGUUCAAAGUGCUUUUACAUAAUCAUUGUUUCUUGAUGGUUGGUAUUUUGCAUUAAUUUUUUUUGUUUUAUCUUAAUUUGAUAUGUUAUGUAUUUUGUUUAUAUUAUCUAAUAUGUUUUCUUUCAUGAUUAUAAGCCGCUCUGGCUCCCUUUUUGGGAGAUGGGGUGAGGUAUAAAUAAAGUUUUAUUAUUAUAUAA